AUGCGGGAGCGCGGGGACCCGGUGCGGGGCCCGGGACGGAGCCGUCCCCAGGGGUGGGGAACGUCCGUGCGGAAAAUCUGCUGCCUGCAAGGAUCCUUUCCCCACCCUUUGUUUCCUGAGGACAAACCUGGGGCGUGCCCCGUGGGAUGCUGGGGGGUCACACCGUGCCUGGGGGCCCGGGGGCACGCACCCAGGAUGAGCGGCUCAGGGAAAUGCGUGCCUUUGUGUGAGGGACAAAGUCACCCGCUGGGGCAUGGAAGCAUCCCCAUGGCUGUGCUGGGUGCACGUCACGCUGGGGGUCACGCUGUGUUGGGUGGGAUUUUGUGAUGUUUGCAAGUCAAGAAAAAUGAGGCUAUGUGUCCUCCCAACAGGGCUGGCAGUGUGACUCAGUAUCCUCCGCAGCACGCAGCGGUGAGUGUAUUUUAACAGCUGAUUGGGAUCCGUAGAACCACAGAAUCAUUCCGGUUGGAAAUGACCUCUAAUAUCCCCAAGCCCAACCCCAGCCCACCCCACCGUGCCCACUGCCACGUCCCUCAGUGCCACAUCCCCACGGCUCUGGAACACCUCCAGGAUGGUGACCCCACCACUCCCCGGGCAGCUGUGCCAGUGCAGCACUGCUCUGUUGGACAAGAAAUGUUUCCUUAUAUCCAACCUGACCCUCCCCUGGCACAACGUGAGGCCACCACCUCUUGCCCUAUGGCUGUUACCUGGGAGCAGAGGCUGACCCUACCUCACCACUGCCUCCUGUCAUGGAGCUGUAGGGAGCAAUGAGGUCUUCCCUGAGCCUCCUCUUCUCCACACUGACCCACGCCAUUCCCUCUCCCUGUAGCUCUGUGCUCCAGACCCCAUUCCCAACCCAUGUUCAGCAGCUGUUGCCCACCACCCCCAGGGCCUUUUCCUCAGCGCAGCUCCCACCCGCUGUGCCCCAGCCCUGCAGCACUGCAUGGGCUUGGUGUGACCAAAGCGCAGGACCCGGCCCUUGGUCUUGUUGAACCUCAUCCCGUUGGUGUCAGCCCAUGGAUCUGCCUGUCCUGGUCUGUCUGUGCAGCCUUCCUGCCCUGCGGCAGGUCAGUGCCUGAUGCUCAGAGGACAUCCCUGUGUUUCUCGCUGGGAGAGGUUGCUCAGAGAAAAAACAGCAGUGCGUGGUGAGAGGAACGCCUGCAGCUGGUGCUGGUUGAGGGCUGAUGGAAAGGGGGAAGCCGUGAGGCAAAGGAGUCAGUCCCGGUGUGGCACUUCAGCCCUAUUAUCCCGAUGGAAAACGAGAUGUGGGGCAACGCUGGGCGUGUCAGAGCCUCGGUGUGUGUCUGCCCACGGGGAUGCAAAGUCCCACGGUGGAAAUGGGAGCCGUGAUCAGGGCGGGCUUCCAAAGGACGGGGCUGCUGGCUGCUGAGCAGCAAGUGCUUCAAAAGCAGAAGGGCACGGAGCCGCUGCGCUCUGCACCCGCUGCCCGCCCUGCUGCAGGGAGCUCUGAGAAGCGAGCACGCAGCUCCACGGGAGCACACGGAGCCGAGGUUUGUCCUGGCUCUGCACGCUGCCUGCAGGGGAGUCAGAGGCGGUGACGCCGGUGGCGUGGUGCUCCAUGAAUAUUUAACGGCUCGCCAUCAUCAAAUAUUGAAACCCGAGGAUAUUGGUUCUCGCACUUCCGUACGGCGGCGGCGCAGAUAGGAUUAGCGAGGCCUCAUAUUGCGGCACUUUAAUUAAACCCAUAAAGCACGCUCUUUAAUAAAG
This 1728-nucleotide long non-coding RNA is filed under the name Numida meleagris (helmeted guineafowl). RNAcentral's name for it is "lncRNA (ENSNMEG00000020000.1)". Lineage: Eukaryota; Metazoa; Chordata; Aves; Galliformes; Numididae. The record is from RNAcentral.